GCUCUCUUCGUACGCGUAAUUAUAUUAAUGACGAUACUGCUCGACGUUCGUGUAUAUUAUAAUGUUAUUUCGAUGAAGACACCGCGGAUCAAAAUAUAAACAGGGCACUCGUAUACCGGACCCGACAUCGAUUUUCGUUUACCACGGUAUAAUAUAAUAAUAUUAAACUAAUUUCGAUCCACGCCGCACGACGGUCGUCCUUUGGAAUCCGGAACGUCGUGAAACCCAAGUCACCGUUUUCGUGCCGAUUACGCGAGUUCGGAGAAAACGAGAUAUCUCAUCAUUGUGCCACCGAAAAAGUCUCGCAUAGGGUCUCGUAAAACGGAACGGGGUAAUAUUGUUGUCAAUGCCAAAAACGGAUUUUCUAAUGCGUCUGCUUUUCGAUUUACGAGAGAAACCCGACGUCCGAAAACGAAAGAAAAAAACCAAAUCGAUCGCAUUGCAUUACAUUACAACAAUGGACGGCGCGGCCCGUAACGCUCAUAAACAUCGGUCUAAUGAAGAGCAAAUCGUAUACAUCCGAG
Long non-coding RNA from Myzus persicae (green peach aphid), 524 nucleotides. RefSeq lists it as uncharacterized. Lineage: Eukaryota; Metazoa; Arthropoda; Insecta; Hemiptera; Aphididae. The transcript is spliced from 3 exons. The record is from RefSeq and is a predicted model, not a curated record.